UUACACAAAUCCCGAGCCUCUACAUUUAGCGACUGUGCAUUUACCUAUAUUUCGCAAGAUCUAAACCAUUCUAAUAAUUUAACGACUCAUGAUAUGACACGUCAAUUUUUAACUUUAGACAUGUAUCUAUUUAAUUAGCUCCAACUUAACACUGUUAAGUUUAAAAGAAUUAUUAAAGCAAAUUAAAACAAAACAAUAAAGAAAAAAAUUAAAAACAUAACAUCCAACUUACCUACCCGACCCCGUGACUGCCAUCCUAUCCCACCCCUAAUUCCUCUCCAAUGUCCACAAAUCUCUCCCUCUCUUCCAUGAAUGUGCAUUAUAGUAGCUACGAUUUUUUCUCAUCGUAGGUUUAUCUUUUCAUCAUAGUUAAAUACCCGACCCCGACUGCCAUCAUAUAAAAAAAAUGGCAGCAUCGGCAUUUAGCAAGGAUUAAGAUGUAAUCAUAGUUGCUGAGUCAUCGAAUUGUGGAGAGAGAGAGAGAGAGAGAGAGAGAGAGAGAGAAUAGGAGAGGAGGUUGGCUGUGAGGAGGGAAUGAGGUUGCCAUGAGUGGGGUGGGGUGGGGUGUGUCAUGGGUGGCUGAUAGGUUUAUGUCUUUUUCUUUAUUUUUUUAAAAAAAUUUAUUUAGACUUUUUUUGUUUUUUUUUUUUGAGGACAUUUUCUAUUGAAAGGGACGAUAACAUAUUAAAUUCACACACACAAUACGGAUGCUAGGAUUCGAACCCAGGACCUUGCCUGAGGGAGUAAAUACUCCAAACCACUACACUAG
This 769-nucleotide long non-coding RNA is filed under the name Prunus persica (peach). RNAcentral's name for it is "long non-coding RNA (PPER_LNC003658)". Lineage: Eukaryota; Viridiplantae; Streptophyta; Magnoliopsida; Rosales; Rosaceae. The record is from RNAcentral.